This 368-nucleotide ribosomal RNA is filed under the name uncultured organism. Its description in RNAcentral is "bacterial SSU rRNA". It matches the Rfam family "Bacterial small subunit ribosomal RNA", at positions 526 to 896 of the family's 1533-position model. The record is from RNAcentral.
CGGAGGGUGCAAGCGUUAUCCGGAUUCACUGGGUUUAAAGGGUGCGUAGGUGGGCUAGUAAGUCCGUGGUGAAAUCUCCAAGCUUAACUUGGAAACUGCCGUGGAUACUAUUGGUCUUGAAUAUUGUGGAGGUAAGCGGAAUAUGUCAUGUAGCGGUGAAAUGCUUAGAUAUGACAUAGAACACCGAUAGCGAAGGCAGCUUGCUACACAAUUAUUGACACUGAGGCACGAAAGCGUGGGGAUCAAACAGGAUUAGAUACCCUGGUAGUCCACGCCCUAAACGAUGGAUACUCGACAUACGCGAUACACAGUGUGUGUCAGAGCGAAAGCAUUAAGUAUCCCACCUGGGAAGUACGACCGCAAGGUUG